RNAcentral lists this ribosomal RNA (345 nucleotides) under uncultured bacterium. RNAcentral describes it as "bacterial SSU rRNA". It matches the Rfam family "Bacterial small subunit ribosomal RNA", at positions 28 to 371 of the family's 1533-position model. The record is from RNAcentral.
GAUUAACGCUAGCGGCAGGCCUAAUACAUGCAAGUCGAACGGCAGCACGGGUAGCAAUACCUGGUGGCGAGUGGCGCACGGGUGCGUAACGCGUAUGCAAUCUACCUAUAACUGGGGAAUAGCCUUCCGAAAGGAAGAUUAAUACCGCAUAAUAUCACGAAGCGGCAUCGUUUUGUGAUCAAAACUCCGGUGGUUAUAGAUGAGCAUGCGUGACAUAGCUAGUUGGUGAGGUAACGGCUCACCAAGGCUACGAUGUCUAGGGGGUCUGAGAGGAUGAUCCCCCACACUGGUACUGAGACACGGACCAGACUCCUACGGGAGGCAGCAGUAAGGAAUAUUGGACAA